RNAcentral lists this ribosomal RNA (405 nucleotides) under Galapaganus darwini. RNAcentral's name for it is "partial 12S ribosomal RNA". The record is from RNAcentral. Lineage: Eukaryota; Metazoa; Arthropoda; Insecta; Coleoptera; Curculionidae.
AACUAGGAUUAGAUACCCUAUUAUUUUGAACUAGAUUGAUAUUACCAGGUUAGUAGUAGUUAUGUGCUUGAAAAUUAAAGAAGAUGGCGGUAUUUUAGUCUAUUCAGAGGAACCUGUCCUAUAAUCGAUGAUCCACGAUUUAUUAUACUUAUUUUAUAAGUUUGCAUAUCGCCGUAGAUUGAAUGUCCUUGAAGGGAUUUAAACAUUCAAGAGGUUUUUAUUUGUGAAAUUAAAUCAGGUCAAGAUGUAGCUAAUAAAUAAGAAGAGAUGGGUUACAAUAAAUUUAUUUAUAACGGAUUAAUAUAUGAAAUUUAUUAUAAAGGUGGAUUUGAGGGUAAUUUUAUAUAAAUUUAUAAAAUGAUUUUAGCUCUAAAAUAUGUACACAUCGCCCGNUCGCUCUUAAAA